GACGAACGCUGGCGGCGUGCUUAACACAUGCAAGUCGAACGGAAAGGCCCUGCCUUUGUGGGGUGCUCGAGUGGCGAACGGGUGAGUAACACGUGAGUAACCUGCCCUUGACUUUGGGAUAACUUCAGGAAACUGGGGCUAAUACCGGAUCGGAGCUCCUGCUGCACGGUGGGGGUUGGAAAGUUUCGGCGGUUGGGGAUGGACUCGCGGCUUAUCAGCUUGUUGGUGGGGUAGUGGCUUACCAAGGCUUUGACGGGUAGCCGGCCUGAGAGGGUGACCGGCCACACUGGGACUGAGAUACGGCCCAGACUCCUACGGGAGGCAGCAGUGGGGAAUAUUGCACAAUGGGCGGAAGCCUGAUGCAGCAACGCCGCGUGCGGGAUGACGGCCUUCGGGUUGUAAACCGCUUUCGCCUGUGACGAAGCGUAAGUGACGGUAAUGGGUAAAGAAGCACCGGCUAACUACGUG
This 468-nucleotide ribosomal RNA is filed under the name uncultured bacterium. RNAcentral describes it as "partial 16S ribosomal RNA". It matches the Rfam family "Bacterial small subunit ribosomal RNA", at positions 28 to 507 of the family's 1533-position model. The record is from RNAcentral.